RNAcentral lists this ribosomal RNA (864 nucleotides) under Triticum aestivum (bread wheat). Its description in RNAcentral is "partial small subunit ribosomal RNA". The record is from RNAcentral. Lineage: Eukaryota; Viridiplantae; Streptophyta; Magnoliopsida; Poales; Poaceae.
AUGGCCAAAUAUUGGUGGAGUAGUUCUAUAGAUCAUAGAUCUCUUCACUGGAUAUCAUGGAAAGGACUUACAGUUCCUAAAUGCAAAGGUGGUAUGGGCUUCAGAGACUACCACCUCUUUAACUUAGCACUACUGGGAAAGCAUGGCUGGAGAUUCAUGACAAAUCCAAACUCCCUUUGUGCUAGAGUUUUCAAGGGGAGAUACUUCCCAGACACUGAUUUCAUGCAGGCCAAUGUUCCCCAUUCUGCCUCGGCAAUUUGGUGUGCCAUAGUGGCUGGGCGCGAGGCUCUCAGUACGGGCUUAGUCCAGCGUGUGGGAGACGGCAGCACCAGCAACGCUUGGACAGACAAGUGGAUACACACCACAGCUCCUAGAACCCCGUUGCUAAAACCUCCUAAUACCAAUGUGGAAUGGGUUAGCAAUCUGAUCGAUACAGCCAACUGGACCUGGAAGAGGGAGUUGGUAUGGGAAACCUUCAUCACACCAGAUGCUGAAGCCAUACUGAAUAUUCCAUUACGGCGAGGAGGUGGUGAAGAUUUUCUAGCAUGGGUGUUUGAGAAAUCACGCAUCUACAGUGUGAAAACAGCAUACCGAGCUCUUAUGAACCGCAACGAGCAGUUAGCUCUAGGUGAAGGGGAGGCUAUAGGAGCUUCAGUAGACCAAUCACAUCUAUGGAAAUCGUUAUGGGCUCUCAAAGUUGUCCCAAAAGUGCGUGUUUUCUGGUGGCGAUUCCUUCGAGGCAUUCUACCUGAUGAGAAAACGCUGCAUCACAGACAUAUCAGAGAUCUCAGUUUAUGCAAAGUUUGUCAAGCUAAAGAGGAAGAUCUCGAGCAUGCAUUGAUACAUUGCUCACACACUCGAUAG